RNAcentral lists this long non-coding RNA (322 nucleotides) under Pan troglodytes (chimpanzee). Its description in RNAcentral is "long non-coding RNA NONPTRT007633". Lineage: Eukaryota; Metazoa; Chordata; Mammalia; Primates; Hominidae. The record is from RNAcentral.
ACGGAUUUGGGGGAUGGGGACAGCUGCGAGCCUCAGUGUGAAUGACACCCUCCCUCUCUAGGAGCUGAGAGUGGCGCUCUUCGCGCCACUGGUGCACCUGGCCGAGCGCGAGCUGGGCGCGCGCCGCGACUUCUCCAGCGUGCCCGCCAGCUACUGGUGGGCCGUCAUCUCCAUGACCACCGUGGGCUACGGCGACAUGGUCCCGCGCAGCCUGCCCGGGCAGGUGGUGGCGCUCAGCAGCAUCCUCAGCGGCAUUCUGCUCAUGGCCUUCCCGGUCACCUCCAUCUUCCACACCUUUUCACGCUCCUACUCCGAGCUCAAG